GAGCGAACGCUGGCGGCAGGCUUAACACAUGCAAGUCGAGCGGGCGUAGCAAUACGUCAGCGGCAGACGGGUGAGUAACGCGUGGGAACAUACCUUUUGGUUCGGAACAACACAGGGAAACUUGUGCUAAUACCGGAUAAGCCCUUACGGGGAAAGAUUUAUCGCCGAAAGAUUGGCCCGCGUCUGAUUAGCUAGUUGGUGAGGUAACGGCUCACCAAGGCGACGAUCAGUAGCUGGCUGAGAGGAUGAUCAGCCACAUUGGGACUGAGACACGGCCCAAACUCCUACGGGAGGCAGCAGUGGGAAUAUUGGACAAUGGACGCAAGCCUGAUCCAGCCAUGCCGCGUGAGUGAUGAAGGCCCUAGGGUUGUAAAGCUCUUUUGUGCGGGAAGAUAAUGACGGUACCG
Molecule: ribosomal RNA, 407 nt
Filed under: uncultured bacterium
Lineage: Bacteria
Description: bacterial SSU rRNA
Rfam family: Bacterial small subunit ribosomal RNA
Source: RNAcentral